Molecule: small nucleolar RNA, 80 nt
Organism: Callithrix jacchus (white-tufted-ear marmoset)
Lineage: Eukaryota; Metazoa; Chordata; Mammalia; Primates; Cebidae
Gene: SNORD24
Rfam family: Small nucleolar RNA SNORD24
About the family: U24 is a member of the C/D class of snoRNA which contain the C (UGAUGA) and D (CUGA) box motifs. C/D box snoRNAs have been shown to act as methylation guides for a number of RNA targets. U24 is encoded within an intron of the gene for ribosomal protein L7a in mammals, chicken and Fugu.
Source: Ensembl
UGCCACAAUGAUGACAGUUUAUUUGCUACUCUUGACUGCUAGAAUGACGAGAGUCUUAACCACCAAUCUUACCUGAGGCA